GGGGACCCGCACAAGCGGUGGAUGAUGUGGAUUAAUUCGAUGCAACGCGAAGAACCUUACUACCCUUGACAUGUCCGGAACUUGCCAGAGAUGGCUUGGUGCCCGAAAGGGAAUCGGAACACAGGUGCUGCAUGGCUGUCGUCAGCUCGUGUCGUGAGAUGUUGGGUUAAGUCCCGCAACGAGCGCAACCCUUAUCAUUAGUUGCUACGCAAGGGCACUCUAAUGAGACUGCCGGUGACAAACCGGAGGAAGGUGGGGAUGACGUCAAGUCCUCAUGGCCCUUAUGGGUAGGGCUUCACACGUCAUACAAUGGUCGGUACAGAGGGUUGCCAAGCCGCGAGGCGGAGCCAAUCCCACAAAGCCGAUCGUAGUCCGGAUUGUUCUCUGCAACUCGAGAGCAUGAAGUCGGAAUCGCUAGUAAUCGCAGGUCAGCAUACUGCGGUGAAUACGUUCCCGGGUCUU
Molecule: ribosomal RNA, 462 nt
Filed under: uncultured Thiobacillus sp.
Lineage: Bacteria; Pseudomonadati; Pseudomonadota; Betaproteobacteria; Nitrosomonadales; Thiobacillaceae
Description: bacterial SSU rRNA
Rfam family: Bacterial small subunit ribosomal RNA
Source: RNAcentral